GGUCCCCUCGCAGCGAUAGAUAGUAAACCCCGCCAGGCCCGGAAGGGAGCAACGGUAGUUAUCGACUCGGGUGCCGAGGUGUGGCUGUU
RNAcentral lists this signal recognition particle RNA (89 nucleotides) under uncultured Luminiphilus sp. RNAcentral describes it as "Bacterial small signal recognition particle RNA". It matches the Rfam family "Bacterial small signal recognition particle RNA", at positions 5 to 90 of the family's 97-position model. From Rfam's summary of the family: The signal recognition particle (SRP) is a universally conserved ribonucleoprotein involved in the co-translational targeting of proteins to membranes. Archaeal SRP consists of a 7S RNA and homologues of the eukaryotic SRP19 and SRP54 proteins. The record is from RNAcentral. Lineage: Bacteria; Pseudomonadati; Pseudomonadota; Gammaproteobacteria; Cellvibrionales; Halieaceae.